RNAcentral lists this long non-coding RNA (304 nucleotides) under Homo sapiens (human). Its description in RNAcentral is "non-protein coding lnc-DDX51-9:1". The record is from RNAcentral. Lineage: Eukaryota; Metazoa; Chordata; Mammalia; Primates; Hominidae.
GGGAGUCGGUCUCGGUCCGGCACCCCAGAACUCCAACUGGCAGACAGGCAUGUGUGACUGCUUCAGCGACUGUGGAGUCUGCCUCUGUGGCACGUUUUGUUUCCCGUGCCUUGGGUGUCAAGUUGCAGCUGAUAUGAAUGAAUGCUGUGUGGAGCAAGCGUCGCAAUGAGGACUCUCUACAGGACGUGAUAUGGCAUCCCUGGAUCUAUUUGUGAUGAUUAUAUGGCAACCCUUUGCGGUCCUCCUUGUACUCUUUGCCAAAUCAAGAGAGAUAUCAACAGAAGGAGAGUCAUGCGUACUUUCU